Molecule: ribosomal RNA, 492 nt
Filed under: uncultured bacterium
Lineage: Bacteria
Description: partial 16S ribosomal RNA
Rfam family: Bacterial small subunit ribosomal RNA
Source: RNAcentral
AUUGAACGCUGGCGGCAUGCUUUACACAUGCGAGUCGAACGGUAACAGGCCUUCGGGUGCUGACGAGUGGCGAACGGGUGAGUAAUGCAUCGGAACGUACCCAGAGGUGGGGGAUAACGCAGCGAAAGCUGUGCUAAUACCGCAUGUGAUCUGAGGAUGAAAGCGGGGGACCGAGCAGCAAUGUUUGGCCUCGCGCCUUUGGAGCGGCCGAUGUCGGAUUAGCUAGUUGGUGGGGUAAAGGCCUACCAAGGCGACGAUCCGUAGCUGGUCUGAGAGGACGACCAGCCACACUGGGACUGAGACACGGCCCAGACCCCUACGGGAGGCAGCAGUGGGGAAUUUUGGACAAUGGGCGCAAGCCUGAUCCAGCAAUGCCGCGUGCGGGAAGAAGGCCUUCGGGUUGUAAACCGCUUUUGGCAGGAACGAAACGGUGUCCGCUAAUACCGGGCGCUAAUGACGGUACCUGCAGAAUAAGCACCGGCUAACUACGUG